Molecule: ribosomal RNA, 253 nt
Filed under: uncultured bacterium
Lineage: Bacteria
Description: partial 16S ribosomal RNA
Rfam family: Bacterial small subunit ribosomal RNA
Source: RNAcentral
UACGAAGGGUGCAAGCGUUACUCGGAAUUACUGGGCGUAAAGCGUGCGUAGGCGGUUUGUUAAGUCCGCUGUGAAAGCCCUGGGCUCAACCUGUGAAUGCCGCUGGAAACUGUCUGGCUAGAGUCCGGAAGGGGCGAGUGGAAUUCCUGGUGUAGCGGUGAAAUGCGCAGAUAUCAGGAGGAACACCAAUGGCGAAGGCAGCUCGCUGGAACGGUACUGACGCUGAGGCGCGAAAGCGUGGGGAGCGAACAGG